This 382-nucleotide ribosomal RNA is filed under the name Anthopotamus sp. BYU IGCEP022. RNAcentral describes it as "partial 12S ribosomal RNA". Lineage: Eukaryota; Metazoa; Arthropoda; Insecta; Ephemeroptera; Potamanthidae. The record is from RNAcentral.
UAAACUACGAUUAGAUACCCUAUUAUAUUAAAAGUUAUAUGUAAAACUUGAGUAGUAAUAGUUAUAACCUUCAAACUCAAAGAAUUUGACGGUAUUUUAAUCUUGUCAGAGGAAUUUGUCCCGUAAUUGAUAGUCCCCGUUUAUUUUACUUAAUUAAGUAUUCAGCUUGUAUACCGCCGUCAAAAGGAUAUUUCCAGAGAAUAUAUUCAAGAUUUUAAAUUAAAAUAGAUGUCAGGUCAAGGUGCAGCUUAUAAUUAAGAGGAGGUGAAUUACAAUAUAUCAAUAUAUAACGAAAUUAAUUUUGUAAAAAUUUUAUGAAGGUGGAUUUGGGAGUAAUAUUAUUAAAGUAAAUAAUAUGAUGGAAAGCUCUAAAAUAUGUACA